AUGUAAUAUUAAACAUGGCUAGCCAGCUUGAUCAAUCAGAGCUCAAACUGGUGGGCUAUUAUUUCGUUGAAGGUCCUUGAUUUUGCUUCUGCAUUUGCUGUUGUACCCUUGCUUACCACAGCUUCAGGCCAGCUUUCACAGCCCUGGAUCUCGAUUGAAGCAUCUCGCGCCAUUUUUAAGCAUGAAAGAUUCGUAGGUCUUAAAACUGGUUGCACGCACCGAGGUCAUCAGGCUUUGUAUUUUCAAAUUUCGGCCGGCUCACGAGUCCUGUUCAAAGUUUAUUUGGAACAAUGUUAAAUGUCAUUCUGUGAAGGAUAUGCUCUUACGUCUGUAUAGCCUGGAAGCAUAAUACAGAAAUACUACCAGAAGGACAACUCACACCAGCUUCAAUUCUUCAGCGCAGAGAAAUGACUACAUUGGUGGUCAAUCCUACAAGACCCUCCUACAUGAUAGAAUGAGGAUGUGGCCAUCAUUUUGUCAAGCAUCUACCGCUACUACCAGCCAUACUCUAAAGUAGCUGAACAACCUACCAAUAUGAAGCAUCCACCUACUUAGUAUUCAGUUAUUCAAAACUUAUCUAUGGACAACUAAUGUGUAAUAUUGAGUAUUGUAAUUUGCUAUCUA
This is a long non-coding RNA of Panicum virgatum (switchgrass), 624 nucleotides long. RefSeq lists it as uncharacterized. The record is from RefSeq and is a predicted model, not a curated record. The transcript is spliced from 6 exons. Lineage: Eukaryota; Viridiplantae; Streptophyta; Magnoliopsida; Poales; Poaceae.